UAAUAUUUCGCAAUUAUUAUUUAUAGUUUUCAAGACUAAGAUUAUAUAUGUUUCAAAAAAAAAAGAUUAAUAUUAUAUAGAAUUUCAGCAGUUUAUAUGGUCGUUGUACUAUGUUUAAACAUGCACAACAAAGUUGACAAAAAAAACAUGCACAACAAUAUCAUCAUUUUGACAUGUGGCUGCAGGCUUUAAUAAUAUACUUCUUUGGUCAAGAUCAUACCUAUCAAUCUAUCAUUAAGAAAGAGAAAGGAAAAUAUAUCGUAUAAGCAAUAAUUUUAUUUGAACGUGUAACAAAAUUUCACGUUAACAAGUUCACAUGUGUUUUUUCUUGUAGGAAUGCGUUCUCCGUUCACAUAAAUAAUUAUUUUGGAGUAAACUAUGGUUACUUUUGUGAUUGUAUGCAGUUAAGUUAUAAAUAAUUCUUCAAGUCUUCAGUUCAGACUCAUUACCAAAGCCAUAUCUUCAAACAUUAUAAUUCUUUCUCAAAUACUGAAUAUAAGCAUAUAUAUCGCAUUCACAUAGGGUAUACUAGUAUUAUAGUUUACACGUUUACUUUCACUAGACGGAAACAAAAGGAUAUCGCGAGAUAAAUGAUUUUAGGAUUCUUUACUUCCAUGCAAAUAUUUAACAAGCUAACUAUGAGUUUUAUUUACUUUUGUAACGAUGACAAGAUCAAAAUAAGUUCUAAAGAAAGAAUUAUAUCGGCAACACUUUUUUAAUGUUAGGAAGUUUUAGGCAAAUUCUUUCAAAAAUGAAAUUUUCGGCAAAUUCUUUUUUUUUAAUGAUUUUUUUUGGUACACAAUGUAAUAAAGUAGAUCUAUGAUUCAGACAAGUAGCAAUCAAAGUUGUCAAAAUCAAACCAUUGAAGGAGUGCCAUUUGGCACCAUUGAGAGAGCCAAGAUAACGUGGCAAUCAAAAUGUGGUUGUGACUGAAUAUUGCGUCCGACAGAUGAUAGCACGUGUCGAGGUUCCCAUAACGAUAGCCGUUGUCGAGGUUCCCAUAACGAUAUUUUUCUGUCUUUUUGUUAAAGUUAACAGAGAACAUUGCAGUACGUGCAAAAAACAAAGGGUGGAGAUCGCUUUCUCUCUCAUCUCUGUUCCUUCUCUUGCAUCUUUUACCGAGAAGAUGAGAAAGCGGUUGAGUAACUUGAGUUAUAGUCGACGCCGAUUCCUUUUUCCGGCUUCGAUUUGGUAUAUAGCUACCGGAUCUGGUCCGGUUUAUGCCUCUCGAUGUUUUGGGCUAUUGACUCUGGGGAGAGGUGGUUCACAUAACACCAUCUUUGCUGGCUUUCGUCUCUGGGAAGAGAUUGGAGUUUUGGUUUCAAUCGUAGGCAGUUGCAAUUCCCUCUUCAAAUCGUAGAUCUGUCAAGGUUGGUUUGUCGUCUUGAGAUUGAGGGCUGUUCUGGUUAAGCGGCUUCUUCUCCAGUUUGGUUUGCUGAUGGCGGAGCUCCGGCGUGCAUGCUCUCUGACUCCGGAGGAAGCUUGUGCUUUCCAUUCGCGACGCGUGUUCAUUGGGCGCCGGGCGUCCGGACACGUGGAAGUGGAGUUGGCGUCUUCCCCUACAGUUUCUCUUGGGCUUGGGGCCCAGUUGUUGUGAUGUUUUGCGGCCUGCUGUUUAGGCCUUUCUCGUUUUGUUGUUGUUGUUGGGCUUUAUGAGCCUAGUCUUUUAAUAAAAUUCCAAUUUGGGAAAAAAUAAAAAACUGAGAACAUUGUAUCGGUAAAAUUAAGGUUAUGGAUAGGGAACAUUUGUAAGUGCUUAAUUGAAAGGCGUUUUUCGAAAACCGCUUUCAUUUACCAAUCAACGUUUUAGCUGUAAUUUGCAUUUUUUUUUAAAGAGUAACUGUUGCAUUUUUUAUUUUGACAACUUAAGAGUGCAUUGGUUCUUUUGGGAAAUUUGCACACACAUAUAUAACAAAUAACAAAAUUAAUUUUCUACAAAUAACAACUCUUAAGCUAUGAUAUUUAUGUAAUAAUUGCCAUAUUACCUUUACCACAUUUUAUUUGAACAUUUUUUUUCUUUGAUUUUUCUUCUUCUUACGAAUAUGUUUUUCCCUUCUACUUUUAUACUUUUAAUUGAUUUCAACUCAUGCUAUAACACUUAUUAAACUUUGUAUUUUACAUAUUAAAAACAUAGAUUUUUUUCUUCACAUAAAAUGUUUUGAAACUUUCAAAACAAAUUUAUAUUCUAUAAAAUUUAUAAGAUAUUUCAUUAAAGCGGUUUUAAAUCUAUACUAUCAUAAACAUAUAGUAUAAAUUCAUUUCUCACACACACACUCUCUCCUCUCCUUCCUCUCUCUCUCUCUCUCUCUCUCUCUCUCUCUCUCUCUCUCUCUCUCUCUCUCUCUCUCUCUCCCCGUCUCCCUCUCCCUCUCUCUCCCUCCCUCCCUCCCUCCCUUUCUCCACUACACAUUGUGUGGACAUUGCUUAUCUAUUCUAUAUACACAUCAGAAAUAGAAUAAUCUUUCUUAUCCGGUGUGUUGUGUUCAUGCUCACGCGCUGGAAAGGAAAAUAAUGUCCACUUAUGUAAUCAAUUGACAUAAUUACCAAGAGAUGGAUAUAUUAUUAAUUUUUUUUCUAUUAUGGUUAUCUCACAAAUUCAUCCUUUUUUUUUAAAAGAAGUUUCUAGCUGAAAAUGUAAUAAACAAAUAAACAGUAAGAGAGAGAAACAUAAAUAUAAAAUAAUCGCCCCUCAAAAAAGAUACUCUCCACUACACUUAAGAAACUAUGAAACCAUGUGUCUUCUUUUAAUUCACAUAGUUUUAUUAUACAUUUUAAAUUUAAUUACUUAAUCAAAUUAUAGAUAUAAUAGUAUGAGAGACUUAGUUUUAAGAAAAUGACCACUAAGAACAUCAGCAAUGCAUGUGUUCACACAUGUGUUCUUAGAUUAAUAAAAUAGAAAAACAGAGGAAAGAUGAGAGAGAUAGAAAAACAGAAGUGAAAAAUUGUUCAGCUGCUCUCAUACGAGAGACACAACUACUUUUAUGAGAGCUUUUUUUUUACAUGUCUUCUCUUAAUUGGUUUCUUUUUUAUUUGUAUUUAUAAUUUAAUUAAAAGUAAAAUAUACUAAUAUUUUAUAUCUAACGCUGAUGCUCUAAUAACUCUUGGACCGCAUUUUCGUAGUCCCUCACCCACUACCCAUCGAUUAAUAGAAUUCUGCCUUUUAUACAAUAAAUACCGUGUUUUCUGUAUAUUUCAUUUAUUUUCUGUUCAUUUGUAAUUUUUUUGCAAAAUUUUAUGUUCAUUUUCUAUUUCAUUUAAAUGGAUUAAAAAGAAUCUCCACUACCACUAGAUGUUUAACAAAGAACUAAUUAAUGCUUGAAAACCAUCACGUAACUAUUUUGAAGCAUUAAUUAGUUCUUUGUUAUAAUUAUAGUAUUAUGUAAUACUAACCAUAGUUGUCCAAAUAUUUUGAAUUUCUAUUUUAUUAAUUUAUAACUAUAUAAAAAAUAUUCAGAAUAUUAUAAUUAACAUAUAGGAACCGAAUAAUAUCCAACUCGACCCGAACCCGAACUCCAAUCCAACUCGAAAACCUGAAUAUCUAAACAAUUCUAUAUUAAAAAAAUGAACUUGAGUGGAUACAAGAAUUUGACCCAAUUUAAGUGGUUUCAAAGGAAUUUCAUAUCAAAAUAUAGUAAAGCCGAAUAGUUUUUCAUAGCAUAGUAAAAAAAGUAGAUAUCCACAAAAUCGAAUGAAAUAUAUAUAUAUAUAUAUAAACUUGAAUUUUUUAUUUUAAAUGAAUUUUAGUAUUUAAAUGAUAAAAUACAAAGUAGUUUGACAUUAUCAGUAAACAAACAAAUUUAAUUUCUAGUUGUAUCAAUAUAUUUAAUUUAUAUUAUUAUUUUUUCUUAUCAAAACCGUACUAUUUUUUUUUAUCAAAACCACAUUUGAUCCGCAAAAUGCAUGAACCGUUGUUGCACCGGACUGCACUUAAAAUCUGCACCGCUUAUUUUAUCAAAUCCGUUGUUACCAUUUGAACCCUAAAAAAAAAACUUGAAGCUAGAAAAGAAAUAAAUCUGAAUUAUAUUUUAGUUUUCGAUUUCCGACUUGAUAUGGAACUGAUAGUCUGUUUAACAAAGUCAUAAUUUUUGAACACCAAAGCUACAAAAAAUAUGGUUUCAACUCAUGUUAAAGGUGUUGUUUUAAUCAAGUAGCACACACCUUGGCUAACCAUUGGCAUCUCAAUUGAAGUCUUACACAAGUUGUACAUACCUUCUUAAGUGGUUAAUUAUACUAUGACCUUUUUUCCUCAAGUCAAGCUACGUAACAUAAUCCAGAGAUGAUGGUUAUACUAGUAAAGUUUUUUAUUUGACAAAAACGGGGUUAAACCUAGAUCUAUUAAAGAACCAGACCUGACCCUUGGGUGGGAGGUGCAACCCACAGAUGGACCCUCUUCCGAAUAUUCAAAUGAACCGUAAGCAAUGAGCUAAUAUUUGUGUGGCCGUAAAUGGAACUAAUGAUUUCACACUAGAAGGAAAUCGAUCUCUUACCUAGACCAACAUAGAAACUCCUCCAUGGUGGUUUAGAAACCUCUAAACCACCACAAUGUGGUUUACUAGUAAAUUUUUGCACUCUAAAAGUAGACCUGUCUGAUCCGAGUUUUGUCGGAUGUGGAAAAAUAAUUUAGCAACUGACUAUUGUUUUUGACCUUAAAGGAUUAUGAAUUUCCCCCCAGAACUUCUUGCAAUAAUAAAAAAAAUAAUAUAAGAUUGAUCCUUGCCAAAAAAAAAUGGUUAUGGUUACAUACAAGUCGGGUUUUAAUUAAUCUAUAUAAAACUAUUUUUAGUUCAGAACAGUGAUGAUUAUGAAUUUGGAAUAUAAUAAACUAAAACCAUUUUAUUUGUGAUUUUUAUUUAGAUUUAUAACAAUCUGAUAGUUUUUGUUCGUUUAAUUUAUACAAAUUUAGCUUAUCAUAAAAUGUAAAAAAAAUUUGUCUUUUUUGAUGAAAAAAAUUAUUUGUCUUAUUUUAUGUAUUUCGCAUAUUCUCUUAACAUAUUCGUUUUGCCGUAUAUACUUUAUUUGAAAGGUUAAAGCCAUAUUAGUUGUCCGUACAAUAUUCUUUGAAAAUUAGUUGGACCUAAGUUUAGAUGCUCCAAAUUAAACAAUAAAGGUUUGUGAAAAUAUGUAAAUAUUGUGUAUGUACACACACAUGUAUAUGUCUGAAGUUGAAAAAAAUUACCAACAACAUAUGCAUAUAGUACUUUUGCUGCUCGUUUGCUUAUUAAAAUAACCUUAACUGUCAACUGAAACUAAAAACAUGACUUAGCUCGAUUUCGUGAUAGAAGAAAAACUAUUUAAAUUUAUUGUUGUAUAAUGCACCUAUAACAUUUUCAACUUAUCUCUAUUUUUAAUUUUAAAUUUAUUUCUAAAAUAAAAAAAUAUUACAAAGAUAGAUAUGCUUCAAUGUAUUUCUAUGUUUAUAUUUUUUUCUAAACUAGUGCAACUCAAUUUGUUUUGUCAGUUAUCCAUUUAAAGUUUUAAACUAGAUCAAGUGUUGGUCAAAUGAGCUGAUUCUCCAAAGAGCACCUCCGUCUAUCCGUGUGCAAUCUCUAUGUGAGAAAAUAUAACCUCUCGUUCUUGCUUCUCUUGUGAUAUAUGGUGUUUUGACACUUUGUAUAUAUGUUUUCCAAUUCUUUUUCAAAUAUUUAUCGAGUAUUUCCAGUCUUUUUUGAGUUAUUACAAGUCUAGAGUAGGUUGAAAAGCUUUUGAAGAGACUUAUGUAUAAAAGAGUGAAACUUGGAGAAUUCCUGGCGGAGCGUCCGAUCUUAUGCGGACCAGCCGAUCUCAAUUGGAGUAGUCGCUCUGGCGAAUGGGAUUUUAAGGAAACUUCUAAGAAAUUUCGGGAUUUACCCUACUAAUUCCAGCUUUCCCUCUGAGCCGCUAUCGACUCUCAUAUAUUUUUUUUUCUCUUUUCCUCCAUUUUUAAGCUUGUUUUGUUUGAAAAACGAGAGUCUAGAAAUUUUUCAUAGUUGUGAUUUGCUACUUGCUAUCUUGUAAUGCAGAAAGUCAUCUCUCUCGAUUUAGAGAAAAAUUCCAUGAAGCCUAAUUCUUAGUUAUUUGCAAUUGUA
Long non-coding RNA from Brassica rapa (field mustard), 6065 nucleotides. RefSeq lists it as uncharacterized. The record is from RefSeq and is a predicted model, not a curated record. NCBI's taxonomy places the organism in Eukaryota, Viridiplantae, Streptophyta, Magnoliopsida, Brassicales, Brassicaceae.